Magnolia sinica is the source of this 665-nucleotide long non-coding RNA. RefSeq lists it as uncharacterized. The record is from RefSeq and is a predicted model, not a curated record. The transcript has 3 exons. NCBI's taxonomy places the organism in Eukaryota, Viridiplantae, Streptophyta, Magnoliopsida, Magnoliales, Magnoliaceae.
UUCUAUGUAAAUUGAGUCAUGUAAAGGGACAGUAUGAAGGUGCAUCAAUUGCCUUACUUAAAAUCUCUGGGAGAAAAGGUGUUGUCCGAGUAAAUGGAAAGAUCAUUAAGAAAAAAUCGACUAUUACCCUCAGUGGAGGGGAUGAAGUGGUUUUUAGUUCAUCCGGCACCGACGAUCAUGUAUAUAUUUUUCAGCAACUUGCAAAUGAGAAAUUAACUACUACAGUUGCUCCUUCGUCAGUUAGAAUAACAGGAAAUCAGAGUUCACCUAUAGAAGAGAUUCACCUUGAAACAAGGUCAAGAGAUCCUUCAGCUGUUGCAGGAGCCUCGAUAUUGGCAUCUCUAUCAAAUCUUAGAAAAGAUUUGAAAGUUCUUCCCUAGGCAGCUAGCCAUCCCAAACAAUGAGGAUGUCCAGCAAGAAAUGAAAAGGGCUUCACUGCCUUUCGCAUGUGCAGCAUCAGACAACUAUAUUCCAUACCUUGACGUCAAUUGCCACGCUAAGACAGGUAGUUCUGAACAGAAAGCAAGGGCUAGUGUUCCUUCUAGCAUUACAAGAAAGUGGAGAAUAUCUGGCACUUUUUUUUACCGGCGGCCAUCACCAACUGCCGGAUCCGGUCGACUUAAAAAGGAAAGCCCUAUCUCUCUCUGUUUCUCUUUACCUCUCUC